CUCAAAUGGAAAAGGAAAGUCACAUUUUCUUAAGUUACCAAGUUGCUUCUUAAAUUACAUUUACAAAGAGGCGAAAGAAACAAGAUCAAUAUCACCAAAUAGAUGAGAACAAACUAAUUACUUGACCAAAUUGAAACAAAAAAGAAAAACAAUUAAAUUUAACUAGAGAAACAAUUAAAAGAAAUUAAAAUUGAAACGGAAAAUCGGUUGACAACAACAUUGGAACAUUUUCUCGUUUCCAUGGAAACGGCGCCGAAAAGGUAACGUGACUAAACUGUUUCUCUUUUCUGAUUAGCUUCAAUUUUUUAUUCUUUUCUUUUAAUUUUUUUUAAUUGUUGAUUUUUCUCUGUUAAUUGUGUGUUGAUUUUUUUCUCUGCUGGACAAAUAGUUAAUUGUUCAACUGUAAACGAUGGAGAAACAAGUAAAUAGUAUUUCGUUUUUAACAUUUUCAAUGGAAAUUGGAAUCAUAAUCACUAAGGUUACGUUUCCAUUGUGUAAGAAACUGUGUUGGAGAUCAUUGUGUGUUCAUGACAGAUGAAAUAUCAUCGAGAAGAUAAUUGGACCUUUUCAUCAUUAUCAUCAUUAAAAUAAUCUUUUACUUUCAUUACUAUAUCAUCAUCUUUUCAUUAGAUUGGAAAAAAGGAAAAUGAACAAACAGUUUAACGAUUGGAAAAGGAUUGGAAAACCCUGGUCAACAAUUUCAAUUUGUCCUCUUUUUUGUUGCCUCUUUCACUGUCCAUGGAAAAAUCUAUUUGUAUUGGCAAAUUAUUGUGAUCAACUAGGAGACUCUAAUCAGUUGAGUUUAUCAUUUAACUUACCGAUCGGUCAGUUAGUUGGCUGAUUAAUUGAAAAGCCAGGAAGAUGUAACAUGUCAAGAAAAUGGAGAGAAUCGUAAACAACUCAAUAAAUAUUGGAAUCUAAAGAGUAAACCAAAUCUAAAUCAGUUUUUUACUCUUCCACCACCAUCAUCAUCACACAUCAUCCAGAAUCAUGAUGAUUAAAUGAGUAAAAAAAAAUCAACAAUAAUCUUGACCACCAGAUACCAGAUGAGAAUCUCAGAUUUCCUUUCAAUGUCAUCGCCACAAUCAAAAAGCCAAUAUUGGGAAAGAGUAACAUAUUGGAUACAAUUUAGUGGGAAUCAACAUGAUUGUUAAAUGGAUUCUCCAAACAAUCAAAGUAAAUAAUCACAAGCAAGGAUUCAAAUUAAAAGACGAAAGUGAAAUGAUCCAAACUCAAGCUAAUACGAUGUUUUGAGCAAAAACUACGAUGGGAAUGAGAGAAAAAAAUAAGAAAAGUUGAAAAUCGCUUCAGGAAAACAAACGGAAAAGGAAAAGAAUAUGGAGAAAAGUUCUGGUUGUUUACCUUCCACACCCACACCAACCUCUUCAUCCUCUUAAUAGACUUUAAAAUAGUUGAAACAACAGAAUAAGAUAUAAAUUCAAAGGUUACAUGGUUAAGCUGAUUCCUUUUAAAUCCUACCUAAUAAUCAGCUGAAAAAAAGGAUGGUCCAAAAAGGUAAAACUACCUAUCGAUGUAUCCAUAAUAUCAACAUCAAUUGGCGAUAAUGGAUAAAAAAAUUUUCCUAUCCAAAGAAAAUGUUUUCCAUCAUGAAAAAUUAACCUUCUACUGCCACCAUUGAGUUUAAUCUCUUUUUCAUGGUGGGUUGAAAUUGGUGGAACACAAACUACAACCAUUAAAUCAACAUUUAAAUUUGAUAAUAAUAAUAACCAGAAAACUAUUAAUACACUGAUAGUAAAUGUGGCGGAUAAAUUGCUUUCAAAUAUGAACAAUUAACCAUCAAGGAUUAACAUGGGAUUCCAAUUCAUUUUCACGAAUAAUAUUAUCAUUAUAAUUUCCGGAUGAAAGUUACUCAAAAAUUUUGAUCUAAAUCAUGAUGAUUAUCAUUUAAAUCAACUGGACUUAUCAUCACUUCCUCAACUAAUUUAAUAAUCAAAUGAGAAUGAAGAUGAUUAUCGAUAAUAUCGAUCGUUGAACUUUUUUUUUCACUCUCGACCAAAAUAAGGAUCAUUUUGAUUGUCUCACCAUUGAACAUAAAGAUGAGGAUAAUGAUCAAGAAUCACAGGAUGAUUAUGAAAUCAAAAGAACGAAAAAGUUCUGGGGAAGAAAAUGUGAUAUUAGAAUUCUUUGUACACAGUUUCAUGGAUAAAAUUCACAUGGAAACAAAAAGUUCAAGAAACAGGGUUGAAGAGACUUGGAAUUUAUGAUAUCUGUCAAAACAAUCAUGGUGAUAUCAUGUUAGAGAUAAUAUUGAAACUAAAUCAAAGUUCAGUGAAAGGAAUGAAAAAAAAGGUCUCAACUUAAACAAGUUCAAAGUUAUUUAACAACAAUAUGGUUAUCAGAAUCAGAAUCGUCAUGAUGAUGAUCAUUAUCAGGGGAAAUUCAGUUGGAGCAAAAGAAAAGAAGAUAAAAGUUCUUUAAAUGAGAUAGAUUAUCAAAUCAUAUCAUGUCGACGAGAUGAAAUCUCAUGAAGAUGGAAAAUAAUGAGAGAAGAAAAAGUUCUCUGUCAUGAAGGCAAAAAGAAAAUCGAAAAAGCAGAAAAUUCUAAAAUUGGAACAUAUCGAAAAUGGAAUCAUCGACAAUCUGAUAAUUCUUAAUAUUUUUCACCAAAGUAAAUUCUGUUUACAUUAUAAGAGGAUAACAAGGAAUCGUCAUUAUUAUCAUGAUGAUGAACAUUCAGCUCAUCCUCAUGGUAAAGGAUCUAUCAAAGAUCGAGACAGUAGUGAUAGAGAGAAAGUGGAAUGGAAGAAAAUUUCUUUUUCGAAAAAGAGAAGAAAAAAAUUCCAAAAUAUAACCUCAAGAUUCUGGUAAAAGUUAUUCUGUCAAGUGUAAUGUGAUAUCUUUUUAUAAUAUGAAUUGUUCAUCUUCCACCACCCCCAACCCUGAUCAUCUUAAUUCAUCUCACAUUUCACCAUGAAAGAAAUUCAUGAUUCAUAAUAUUUAUAUAAUCAUCAUUCUCAUCAAAAUAAUAACACUUUUUUUCUCUCUCACUGUUACAAGUUGGAUUAAGUUUUCUCUCUCUCUCAUUU
This is a long non-coding RNA of Panonychus citri (citrus red mite), 3047 nucleotides long. RefSeq lists it as uncharacterized. The transcript has 4 exons. The record is from RefSeq and is a predicted model, not a curated record. Lineage: Eukaryota; Metazoa; Arthropoda; Arachnida; Trombidiformes; Tetranychidae.